UCUCCCUCUCUCUCUUCAGCUCUCCCUUUCUCUCAUCCGUUCCCUUCUCUCUACGGAAGUCGCCGGAAAUCGCCGCCGUACCGCCGCCGUCGCCGGAAUCCCAAUCCUCACCAAAAUUUCCAAAUUUUCUUCUCUUCCUCCCCUCUUUCCAUUUCUCCAACCAAAAUCAAGAAAUUUAGCCAUCCAACCCUCCAAAAACCCUAGAACCCGAAGCUAAAUUAGGGCUUUUUGUGAUUUCUUCUUUCCAAGCUUAAAUCAAGCUAGGCUAUGGGUUUGGCAAGGAUUUUUGGUGAAGCAGGCCAAGGAGAAGGAAUAGGACGUGAUUUUUGAAGAGGAAAGGGAAACACGAUCGUUAAGGAAGCUUAAGCGGAAAGCAUCAGAGUGUGGAGUACGCCAGCAUUUUCCAGGUUACAACGAGGUCAUUCCGGACGAUUUGGAUUAGAAGUGGGUCGUUGGCCGAGUUCGUGUGUUGUUGUUCCUGUUGCUUGAAGUUCUUCCCUUGUGGUAUUCUAUCGAUUUACUCGUUUUUCAUUCCAUGUUGAACUCUGUGAGGUCCGCCUACCUGGGAGCGCGCCUCACCCCUUUGUUUUAUUGUUGUUGUUGAACUUUCCUUUCAUUUCGGUUAUGAUGUAAGCCCUAAGGCGCCACAAUGCACUUGCCCACUUUAUUUUUAAGCUUUUCCAUACUUGUUCAUUUGAGUGUUGGGUUGUUG
Long non-coding RNA from Rosa rugosa (rugosa rose), 712 nucleotides. RefSeq lists it as uncharacterized. The transcript is spliced from 5 exons. The record is from RefSeq and is a predicted model, not a curated record. NCBI's taxonomy places the organism in Eukaryota, Viridiplantae, Streptophyta, Magnoliopsida, Rosales, Rosaceae.